This is an RNA transcript of Hordeum vulgare subsp. vulgare (domesticated barley), 1076 nucleotides long. It is a transcript of the gene named lysosomal protective protein-like, with no coding region annotated. NCBI's taxonomy places the organism in Eukaryota, Viridiplantae, Streptophyta, Magnoliopsida, Poales, Poaceae. The transcript has 8 exons. The record is from RefSeq and is a predicted model, not a curated record.
UGAAGUAUGAUUACGGGUUGCUCCACCCAGCAUUCAAGCGACCGAAGAGCGUUCCUAAGCUCAAGAACAGAUCGCCCACGAGUCCGACUAAAGAAACUUCAAGUGGAAAGAUGCGCGAGUGACUAUGUUGCCAUCCAUCAAGUUCUUGAUCGAGAACAAGCUUCCCGUUUGGAUAUUCAGUGGUGAUUUCGACUCCGUAUGCCCUCUUCCGGCGACGAGGUACUCUAUUCAAGACCUUGGCCUUCCUGUGACUACUCCAUGGCGCCCAUGGGUGGCAAAGGGGGAGGUGGCAGGAUAUGUUCAGCAGUACGCCGGAGGAUUGACAUUUCUAUCAGUGAGAGGUGCCGGUCAUCUUGUUCCGUCCUUACAGCCUGAGAGAGCGCUGAAACCCACAAUGACGCACCAAACAACCUGGACCUCAUUUUGUAAAUAUGUUGACGAGGAGAUCUUCGUCAUGGACCUCAAGAAGGGCUUCGUCUCCACAGGGAACUACGAGGGGACGCCGGACGCGAGCUUCACCUUCACGGACGACGACUUCCUCCCCAUCACCAGUGGCAAGUUGAACCUGCAUAUGGCGUUUAUAAGGGGUAAGCUGAAGAUCAAGGGGAGCAUCAACACCGCGCAGAAGUUCACGCCGGACAUCUUCCCUAAGCCCUCCAAGUUGUAGAACGCGGGAUUGCCAUGCUUGCCUUGCCCUGAUGAUCGGUUAAUAAACAUGAUGGGGGAGGACUACUGCCAGUGGGAUUGUACAAUGAGAUUGUGCUUUUUUAAAGCCUGCUUCUGGAUAUUUUGACAAAAAUUGAUUUUGCUCGAGGAUGGUGCCCUUUAUGUGCAUGAAUUGAUGGGUGUGUUCCCAACGUAGAGCAACGCUUCUCUGUCCAAGUCUCAUGUCUUUCUCUUCAGCACGGAUCAUCGAGUACUACCGAGCAAAAAUGUCCUUAUCUUCGUUUGUUUCUUCCUUUUCCUUACUACUUUUGUGGCCCCAAAUCUCAUGAUGGCUCUAUGCCUGUUCUUUUUGUUGACAUGAAUUUUAACAUGAAAAUUUCCUACUGAUCUACAAUGUUCUGUUAUCUAAA